Molecule: ribosomal RNA, 231 nt
Filed under: uncultured bacterium
Lineage: Bacteria
Description: partial 16S ribosomal RNA
Rfam family: Bacterial small subunit ribosomal RNA
Source: RNAcentral
CGGACGGGUGAGUAAUGUCUGGGAAACUGCCCGAUGGAGGGGGAUAACUACUGGAAACGGUAGCUAAUACCGCAUAACGUCGCAAGACCAAAGAGGGGGACCUUGGGCCUCUUGCCAUCGGAUGUGCCCAGAUGGGAUUAGCUAGUAGGUGGGGUAACGGCUCACCUAGGCGACGAUCCCUAGCUGGUCUGAGAGGAUGACCAGCCACACUGGAACUGAGACGCGGUCCAG